AGCAGCCGCGGUAAUUCCAGCUCCAAUAGCGUAUAUUAAAGUUGUUGCAGUUAAAAAGCUCGUAGUAGAAUUUCGGGGUCAGCAAGUUGGUCGUGCCACUGGUAUGCACUGGCUUUGCUGAUUCCUCCUUCUUGAAGAACUGUAAUGCUAUUCAUUUAGUGUUGCAGGGAAACAGGACUGUUACUUUGAAAAAUUAGAGUGUUUAAAGCAGGCUAACGCUUGAAUACAUUAGCAUGGAAUAAUGAAAUAGGACGUUUGAUCCUAUUUUGUUGGUUUCUAGGAUUGACGUAAUGAUUAAUAGGGAUAGUUGGGGGCAUUAGUAUUCAAUUGUCAGAGGUGAAAUUCUUGGAUUUAUUGAAGACUAACUACUGCGAAAGCAUUUGCCAAGGAUGUU
This 394-nucleotide ribosomal RNA is filed under the name uncultured Glomus. RNAcentral describes it as "SSU rRNA". It matches the Rfam family "Eukaryotic small subunit ribosomal RNA", at positions 569 to 968 of the family's 1831-position model. The record is from RNAcentral. Lineage: Eukaryota; Fungi; Glomeromycota; Glomeromycetes; Glomerales; Glomeraceae.